CUUAACUAUUACAGACUAAAAAAUUCACUUAAUUACAUAACGUUUAAUUCUGUUAUAUAUCAAACAAAUACUAUAAGCCUUUCAUGUAAGAUUCACAAAACAGUAGAAACUGAACAAGCAAUGUGCAAUAUAUAUCUAGUAUUUAAAAUGAUCUAUCCCUCAAAGAAUGGCAGGCUCUCUAAUCUUGUUGGCUUCACACAACUUGAUGGCGCCCACCCAAUUUUCUUGUUCACAUUAUCAUAUAUGACCAAUUGCCCACGCAAUGAUAUAUCUGCAAGAAUUUUAAUUAGCAGCAUAUAUGUAAAAGAAAGGAGUGCAAGUGUUCAGAGGUGAAGAAGAAAAAAUAAUUGCACCCAACAAUGGGCUGUUUAGGACGCUAACAACUAUAUAAUUUCGACAAAGAGAGAGUGAGUGAGAGGAUAGUUGAAUGCACCAAACACAAUACCUCCAAGUAUAAUUGUGGAUCCAUCAUGCACCUGGCUUCCAUCAAGAAUACCCAAGCACACAUUGCCUUUAUUACUAAUGACCAAGUAGCCUUCUGGAGGAAUCCGAAACUUUGUGGAGAUAAUCCACCAUUUGCUCCCGAAUUGAAGGGUUAAAGUCUUGAAGAACUGCUUAACAUCUGUAAUGGAUCUGUGUGCAAAGGAUUGCAGAUUUAGAAGUUGUGGUUGGAAGAAGCCUUAAUGUGAGGUUAAACUAAAGAAAGAAAAUAUCGAGCACAUUAUAAUUUUUAAUAAAAUUGUGCUAGGCAUGGAAUCCGAUGUACUAAUCUCCUUGGGGCAUUUAAAAUAUACCAGUAAGUAAUCAUUCCGCUGAAAUGUUAUUGAUAGCUGUGCUAAGAAAAGACUAGGUGAAAAUUAUUUCAAGUAGAGUCCCACCAGACAAAUAGUUAAACUUCUGCUGUACCUGAUAGGGAAUUCGGCUCGCCAACAGAAGGGCAGUGUUGGAUCUGAUUUAUCUUGGAUAAGCCCCUCCCCGGACACCUCUUUAAGCUAUAUAUAUAAUCUGUAGAAUCAGAACUUUGAAAGAAGUGUUUGAUGACAACAUGUAGUUGUGGAUGAAAAAUACUUACAGAUGAAACCAAUUCAGAGUAAGCUUCUUUGGGGAAGUAUGUAUAAGAACUGCCACUAUCAAACACUAUCCGUCUUACUCUUCUAUCCUGCCCACCUAGACUGAGUGGGCUGCUACCAUAAUUCAACUUCAUAAUCUCUGUCUGAUAAGAUUCUCUGAGAAAGAAGAACAAACGCUAAAAAUGAAUUAUAAGAUUAAAAUGAAGCUGAACAAAUUGUAGAAAGGCCAUUGCAGGUGUUUGUGUAAAAUCAAACACACUCAACUUCACAUGCACACAUGAAAAAUAAAAGGGUAAGGGGGGAAGAGAGGGAUUGGGAGAGCAGAAGAAACAUGGAUACAUGGGUGGUUGAAUUCUUAAAUCUUGCAACUGGAGGAAGCUUAUGUGAGUUCCAUAGCAGAUCUUAAGACACUGCAUUUCUUCUAAUUGAUCGACAGGAAAAAUGACCCAGAGAAUUUAUUCUUUUUCCUCUAAACUUGCACAUUGAUAGGCAGUGACAGGUGAGAGAUGAAACCAUCAUGGAAGAUGAACUUGAGAGAGAACAUAGAGAUAGAAUUAACUCACAACAAAUGUUCUGAGAAAAAAAUUUCAAUCAGCCACAGUGGGAUAUUUAACCAAAACAAUUGCUACUCCCAAAUUGAACCAUUUGAGCAUGUAUAUUCUGCCCUGAAACAUUCUCUAUAAAGUAGAAAAGCAAACAAAAUCCUAGACCAUAAAAUGAAAAAAAAAAAAUUACUCACAUAGGGCCGUUGAGCAUAGGAACCCAUGCCAUACCCCAACGUGGUACAAAAUCAUCACCUAAGAACAUAUAUCCACCACCACCUACAUCAUUGGUAAGACAAUGACCCACCACAUUGUUUAUGAUGCCCCGGCUUGCCAAUUGAGAAGGUAAACUAACUUUAGCAUUGCUUAGUCCAAGUAUCCCAUCUGUCUUUGCCAAAGUGUUUAGAAGUAAGCCUUGCUGAUCAUAUGCACACCCAAAAAUAAAAUUUAACUUAGUUGAAGAUCCAUUUGCCAUCAUUAGGUGAAGUUCAUCUCUUGCAAGAACUCCCAUAGAGGAGCUAUGAUCUGCAUAUUCAAUCUCAUAGUCGCACUGUUGGCACGUAUCACAAUACCCUGGCAUCUGAUUUCUUUUAAGUUCCAUGCAUAAUGAGUCCUUGGGAGUUACAAUGUUGUCUCUUUUUGGCUUGUACAAAGCAUUUGCCCCCUACAUGAACCAUGUACACUAAACUCAAGAUAAUUUUCAUCUCAAUAAAUUCAAUGAAACCUUGAGGUUUAACCAUUGUAGUCAAUUUAUAUAGAUGACAGCAAAUUCUUGUUAAAGCUGCAUCUUUAGUUUGAUACGUGAGGGGAAUAGAAGUGUCUUUUCUGAACACUUCAACAACAGCCUAAAAUUCAUAUAUACCAGUACAUUCACUUCCUUUCAUAUAUACCACACAUUCAGCCUAUACUUCAUAUGGUAACUAGCCAAGGUGUGAGGUGCUGGGUUUCAGAAAUACUUUAUUCUCAAUUCCAAAAAUUAAAUGAUAAAAGCUAUAGUCCAAUUUUUUUUUUUUCUCAUGAUGGCUAAACCGGCUACAUGCCUACAACCACUUAUCUUUCAAAUUUCUCAUUGCAGCCGAACAAAAUUAAGGAAAAACCAGUGAAAAUGUCCCUUUAUCCACAAACU
RNAcentral lists this unclassified non-coding RNA (2738 nucleotides) under Hevea brasiliensis (rubber tree). Lineage: Eukaryota; Viridiplantae; Streptophyta; Magnoliopsida; Malpighiales; Euphorbiaceae. The record is from RNAcentral.